Molecule: long non-coding RNA, 1360 nt
Filed under: Oryctolagus cuniculus (rabbit)
Lineage: Eukaryota; Metazoa; Chordata; Mammalia; Lagomorpha; Leporidae
Description: lncRNA (ENSOCUG00000034149.1)
Source: RNAcentral
AUGGGUUUCCCCCAACUGCUUCUUUCAGUUGCCGUUUUGGCUGUGCCUGGCCAACCUGAAGCAAAUGCCCUGUCGGAGAAAAGGAUGCAUGAAAUUGUGAGUGGCAGUGCUCCUGCACAAUCUGACUAUGGGAAUUGCUGCCAUUUGAGAUACGGACUUCUGCUCAGGUCGCUGGUGGAGCUGCAGUCAUGGGUUGCUGCUGGUGAGUGGUGGCUAGACUGUUUGAAGAGGGCCCACGCUCUAGUGGAACUGUGGUUUGCUUCCAAGGUAGACAGAGCAAGGCAUGGCACACUCUUGCCUGCCUUUCCCCAAGCAUCCCCCACCCCUACCCACUCAGGACACGUUUCUCCCUCCAAAUAGGAAAAUAGAAACACAGCCUGCAUUUUCAGUAUUAAAUUUCAAUUUCUGGAUCUGAUUGGGAACAAGCUACCCGAAAAACGAAGUUAUAAGGCUUCUCCUUUUUCUUAUUUUUCCCCCUUUCAAAGUCUGUCUAGAAUCCUUUUAUGCCAGCUCCCUGGGGAGGUGCAUUGGCACUGUGGGAAACACUCCAAUUUGUCUUACGUGGUGGGAGGGUUCUUAAUUGUCAGUUUAAAAAAUAAUGAUCUGUAGCUGAUUAAAGAACUGAGGAAGCCUUAUACUUUGAGCCCUUUAAGGGGGUAAUUCCUUUAACUGAGUAAUUCCAAGCAGGUAAUUCAUCUAGGCAGGACCCUGAACAGCUCUGUAAAGCCCAAGACCAUCUAGGAACUCUUGAACUGUUUCAAAUUGUUUUGAAAUGGGUCUGAAUGCUGUUAAGAAAUGCAUAAUUUACGACCUUAACACUUGAUUAGUCGUUCAAUGACUGUUGGGAGACGUGUCCUUGGUAAUCCAGUUACCAUCCGAGACUCUAAUUAUCACUUCACAGGAGAAGUAAGGCUGGGUAAUUGAGAACCAAAAUUCUUCCAGGGCUGGAAGCAGCCAUUCUCUUCUAGAGUUAAGCAAACUACUCCUCUACUUGUAAGGUGUCUAAUUGGUACCAAAUGAUGGGAAGGAAGAGACGGUGUUCUGUCUUUCAGAAGAGAGUGAGUUGGGAGCUCCUGUCAAGACAGCACAAAGUUGUGCUACUAAGAGAUCUCUUCUGAUGAAAAAGAUUUCACUUUAUUUGAAAUACGUGUCAAAGAAGGGAGAGAAGGAGAAAGCAGGAGGCAGCCAAAAGAAGACAGAAUGUAAUUAAGAGCUGAUGGCCAUUCCUCUCCCCUGUCUGUCGUUACUAAGGAUUUUUCUCAGAUGAGACCCCAUUUCACCUUGUGUUAGUUCCCAUUGAUCACUAUAAAUUAUUUAAGCCACAAAUGCUGUGCCAUCCAUUAAAACAAGGAUGGGGAUA